RNAcentral lists this ribosomal RNA (253 nucleotides) under uncultured bacterium. Its description in RNAcentral is "partial 16S ribosomal RNA". It matches the Rfam family "Bacterial small subunit ribosomal RNA", at positions 524 to 776 of the family's 1533-position model. The record is from RNAcentral.
UACAGAGGGUGCAAGCGUUGUUCGGAAUUAUUGGGCGUAAAGCGCGUGUAGGCGGCUUAGCAAGUCGGGCGUGAAAGCCCUCGGCUCAACCGAGGAAGUGCACCCGAAACUGCUGAGCUUGAGUGCCGGAGAGGAUGGCGGAAUUCCCCAAGUAGAGGUGAAAUUCGUAGGUAUGGGGAGGAACACCGGUGGCGAAGGCGGCCAUCUGGACGGUAACUGACGCUGAGACGCGAAAGCGUGGGGAGCAAACAGG